GGUAUAUCAUCAUCAAAGGACUAUGUAAGUUUUCCGGGGCUUAUCUCAAUUCCAAUAUCAAGGUCGGAUUGUUGGACCGACUUUGGCUCAAUACUUGGCAUCUUCCUCCUUGUAUACACGUGAUCUGAGUCUAUUAUGAUCGCUUGAGAGGAUGACUUUUGGAGGUUUUCUUGUGUUUGUGAGUUUUUUGAUGAGUUCCGAAUGUUCUCUUAUGGAAAAGGUGAUAGCUUAAAAUUCAUUAGAAAUUUUGUAUCCUUAUCUUUUAAUAUAAACUUCUCCAAAGAUACGAUCAGGUGAAAUAGGAUUCCUAUUUAACAAAUAUGACGUCCGCAUACACAAAAUUUUUGAGUGCACGGAUGGUAAUGCUUGCAUCAGUUUUAAGAGGAAUACCUCACAAAAGCACAUUUCAUGACCCAAGGAUCAAGUUUUCCUCUUUGCUGGAAAUGAAUACGAACAAAUAGAACACUAGAUAUUUGAGGGAACAGAUGGUUUGAGACAUUUAAUACUGGAUAAAAUUGUGGAAGUGUUUCAAGGGGAUUCUUAAAGUCAAAAACACUUGUGGUAGGCUAUUAAUAAUAUAGGUAGCAAUAUGGACAACUUCACUCAAAUAUUAUUUUGGGACGUUGUUUUUGGAAAGAAAAACCCUGAUGGUGAUUAA
This 658-nucleotide long non-coding RNA is filed under the name Carica papaya (papaya). Its description in RNAcentral is "long non-coding RNA (CPAP_LNC015421)". The record is from RNAcentral. Lineage: Eukaryota; Viridiplantae; Streptophyta; Magnoliopsida; Brassicales; Caricaceae.